AAGUAAAAAAAAUAUGAAGUUUUAAAUAAAAUAUAAAAUAAUGAAGUUAAAAUUUCUAAUUUCAAAUUUAAAAUUUAAAAAAUCAAAAUUUAAAUUUUAGUUUUAUCUUCAAUUUAAAAUCUAACAUUUUAAAUUUCAAAUUUAAAUUUUCAAUUAAAAAUUUAAAAUUUAAGAUUUUAAACUUUAGAUGUAAAUUUUAAAAUAUAAAA
This 209-nucleotide long non-coding RNA is filed under the name Ananas comosus (pineapple). Its description in RNAcentral is "long non-coding RNA (ACOM_LNC037182)". The record is from RNAcentral. Lineage: Eukaryota; Viridiplantae; Streptophyta; Magnoliopsida; Poales; Bromeliaceae.